Molecule: long non-coding RNA, 585 nt
Filed under: Homo sapiens (human)
Lineage: Eukaryota; Metazoa; Chordata; Mammalia; Primates; Hominidae
Description: non-protein coding lnc-FOXL1-4:1
Source: RNAcentral
ACUUUAUUGUUCUGUGUUAGUAUAGUGAAACUGACAGAUUUUAUUUAAACAUCGCGGAAGACACCCGCUUUGAGAACUUUUCCCUCCGUUCACAAGGACAGAGAACUUUACAAAGGACUCUUGCUCUGCCUGGCCUCAUCUAGUUGCUGGCUUUUCUAGAAACAAACGGCCUCCUGGGCCUCCAGUGAACCAUAAGAGUUUUGAGAACCUGAAUAGGACCUUCUUAGCCAUUUUCAGAUUUAAUUGUGCCCGUUUGAAUGGUGGUCUUCACCAUUUCACUCAAAGUGGUGAGUGUAUGCCCGUGUGUAUGUUAAAGAAUUAGCCACAUAUAAUUAUUGUUACAGCUGAAAGCCAGAGCCAGCCUGCCCAGACCCUGGCAGGUUAAUGUUAACAUCACAAAGGUAGGUGACGUUUCCAGUAACCAGCUGCACCCAGGAGUGAGAAAAUAAGGGGAGAGCCAUGAUUUUGUGCACUUCCUGGCUUCAUGGUGGAUGGAGUCUUGUUUCCAUGAAAUAAAGGUUGUUUCAUAGAAUGAAAAACAUAAAUGAUAAAAAGCAAAGUUUGUCCAUUAAAAAUAAAAAGCGU